GAUGAACGCUGGCGGCGUGCCUAAUACAUGCAAGUCGAGCGAACAGACGAGGAGCUUGCUCCUCUGACGUUAGCGGCGGACGGGUGAGUAACACGUGGAUAACCUACCUAUAAGACUGGGAUAACUUCGGGAAACCGGAGCUAAUACCGGAUAAUAUAUUGAACCGCAUGGUUCAAUAGUGAAAGACGGUUUUGCUGUCACUUAUAGAUGGAUCCGCGCCGCAUUAGCUAGUUGGUAAGGUAACGGCUUACCAAGGCAACGAUGCGUAGCCGACCUGAGAGGGUGAUCGGCCACCCUGGAACUGAGACACGGUCCAGACUCCUACGGGAGGCAGCAGUAGGGAAUCGUCCGCAAUGGGCGAAAGCCUGACGGAGCAACGCCGCGUGAGUGAUGAAGGUCUUCGGAUCGUAAAACUCUGUUAUUAGGGAAGAACAAAUGUGUAAGUAACUAUGCACGUCUUGACGGUACCUAAUCAGAAAGCCACGGCUAACUACGUG
This 497-nucleotide ribosomal RNA is filed under the name uncultured bacterium. RNAcentral's name for it is "partial 16S ribosomal RNA". It matches the Rfam family "Bacterial small subunit ribosomal RNA", at positions 28 to 507 of the family's 1533-position model. The record is from RNAcentral.